AUGACGAGCAGACGCCGGGAGGGGCGGGGAGCACGGGAAGGAGGUGUCCAUCAUGGUAGGGCCACACCUCUACUCCCACCACGGUGGAUGUUGGAGGAGGGCCACGAAGGUGGCGACGCGUGCGUCAACGUGGUGGAGGGGUCGGCUGCAUUAGGGAUCGCAGUAUCAGGGAGGAAACGCGACAGCUGCAGCGGAUACACGCCAUGGACGUGCGGCCCGAGAAUGUCGAGAAGAGCAUGUACAGGGAGGGCUCGUCAUCCCGGGCCCGACUGUCGCCGCUGCAGGGCCUUCCUUCGGGGUCUCGAUGCCGGCGGUGGCGGGAGUUGUUGCGUCGAUGGUGGUGGCGGCGGAGCUGGACGGGAGUGGGAACGUGGGAGACGAGCGGCGGAGGAGAUUAGCCAGAUUGGAUCGGGACGCUCCACCCCGAGGCUCUACUACGCCGUGGACGUGCUGCUCCGGUCGGGGCAUGAGGACGUGUACGCCGCUGUCGAGCGGCCGCUCCAGCUCGCGCAGACCGCCGCCGUCCUCGAGAUCCUCCACGGGCUCGUCGGGCUGGUGAGGUCGCCGGUGUCGGCCACGCUGCCGCAGAUCGGGUCGUGCCUCUUCGUCACCUGGGGCAUCCUCUGGAGCUUCCCCGAGACCAGGACACACAUCUUGGUGAGCUCCUUGGUCAUCAGCUGGUCCAUCACCGAGGAUCGGGUCAACAAUGCUCAUGUACUAGAAAAGAACACUAGAAACUUGAAUGGAAAGAACCUUCAAAGAAGAACACUAGAAACUACAAGGUCAUGGCCUUCGUCGGGAUCUUCACCGGGUUCGGCUCCGUCGGCCGCCGCCGCGCGCUCAGGCGGACGUGGCUCCCCUCCGAUCGGCAGGUGCAGGUUGCAGGAAGCUACUGGUCUGGCAUUCAGAUUUGUGAUCGGCAAAAGCAAUGACAAGUCUAAGAUGGCAGCUCUUGAAAGAGAGGUUGAAGAAUAUGAUGAUUUUGUGCUUUUAGAUCUUGAUCUUAUGUAUGAGCCACAGUCCUUCCUACUUGGAUCAGAAUACUUCCUUCAUGCAUAUGGGCCUAUUUAUACUACCAAGUUGGAAGAAAAGAAGAAGAUCCGGAGAAGAUCUUAG
Molecule: ribosomal RNA, 1116 nt
Filed under: Triticum aestivum (bread wheat)
Lineage: Eukaryota; Viridiplantae; Streptophyta; Magnoliopsida; Poales; Poaceae
Description: partial small subunit ribosomal RNA
Source: RNAcentral